GACGAACGCUGGCGGCGUGCCUAAUACAUGCAAGUUGAGCGAUGAAGAUUGGUGCUUGCACCAAUUUGAAGAGCAGCGAACGGGUGAGUAACGCGUGGGGAAUCUGCCUUUGAGCGGGGGACAACAUUUGGAAACGAAUGCUAAUACCGCAUAACAACUUUAAACAUAAGUUUUAAGUUUGAAAGAUGCAAUUGCAUCACUCAAAGAUGAUCCCGCGUUGUAUUAGCUAGUUGGUGAGGUAAAGGCUCACCAAGGCGAUGAUACAUAGCCGACCUGAGAGGGUGAUCGGCCACAUUGGGACUGAGACACGGCCCAAACUCCUGCGGGAGGCAGCAGUAGGGAAUCUUCGGCAAUGGACGAAAGUCUGACCGAGCAACGCCGCGUGAGUGAAGAAGGUUUUCGGAUCGUAAAACUCUGUUGGUAGAGAAGAACGUUGGUGAGAGUGGAAAGCUCAUCAAGUGACGGUAACUACCCAGAAAGGGACGGCUAACUACGUG
This 497-nucleotide ribosomal RNA is filed under the name uncultured bacterium. RNAcentral describes it as "partial 16S ribosomal RNA". It matches the Rfam family "Bacterial small subunit ribosomal RNA", at positions 28 to 507 of the family's 1533-position model. The record is from RNAcentral.